Molecule: long non-coding RNA, 1800 nt
Organism: Ictalurus punctatus (channel catfish)
Lineage: Eukaryota; Metazoa; Chordata; Actinopteri; Siluriformes; Ictaluridae
Exons: 3
Source: RefSeq, a predicted model, not a curated record
AGAAUGAACUCCAGUGGGAAAGAUGUUGUUUUCCCUGUGUGGGAGGGGAAACUCUUAGCUCCUCACCUACACGUGUUUAUUAAACAUGAUUUCGACCACAUAUUAGCAACGAAGGGAUUGUGACUUCAGAAUCUUUUAUUCAGGUAUAUAAAAUAAACAACAUUUUUACAUGUCAUGGAAAUGCCUAGAGUACUUAACAAUCCAUUCAUAUAUAACACAAACAUACCAGUUCAAGAUAUAGCCUAUACAUUGAAAUCAAUAUGGUUUAGGGACAAUAUCUGCACAUGAGCAUGCUUAGCUACGUAUGUUUUGGUUUCGUAUGCAAGAGAUUUCGUAUUCCUGUAAAAAAAUUAAUAAAUCUUAGUGAACAAUGAACAAUCAGAUGUAGAUAUAUUUCUUUGAAAUUACACAGCAGUAACUUCAUUAAUCAGUUUUUUCCGCAUUAUUUCAAAGUAAUAUAGCGUUUCAAAAAUGUUAACAUUGUUCAAGCUUCUUUUCUACGUAUAUUCGACGUCGAUGAUUUUUUUUUCCAUCAUGAUCAAGCCUCUUUUCGACUAACUGUAGCUUUCAUUUAAACGGCGAGGGUUCGCUUGACUUCGUCGAAAGCGUGUUUGUGUUUGCUGAGUAGGGACUGAAAAUCUCAAUAUAUUAACAUUUUCUUUAGAGGUAAAAUGCCACGAAGGAUCAGCCCCCUCACAGAUGCCAUGCAUCAUAUAACUGCAAAGAGUGACAAGACAUCAAAGCUAGAGGUGUAAUACAUCAGUCCAGAGAAAGUUAAGUUUUAGCAGUGUGUAUUGACUGAAAGAUCCCAGUCUGACUGAUUCCAUUUUACUUGAAAAUUGCAAUUGUAAAGUAUUUGUCCACAUAAACAUUUACAUCUGACCGUUAACAAUAAAAAUUCUGUGCAGAGCUUUCAUAUUUGUAGAAUUUGAUGUCGAAUAUUCGGUCACUGAAUACUUUUCUCUUACUCUCGUUGUGUAUUAAGUAUUGAGGAUCUUUUGGUAGGCUGGUUAACGAUGACCACAAGCACCCAAAUUGCAGAAUGAAGAAGACUGAAGUGGAUGGAAGCCCACAUAUUUGUCUGUUUGCUUUAACAGACUUUAAAGAAGGAGAUGAAAUUACCUACAAUUACGGUGGAACGGACUGGCCUUGGUGUAGCAAGCAGAUUAGGGAGGAGAACCCUGCUGAGAGCAAUGGCCAGGAGAAACAGCAGCCAUCACAGUCUACACCUUUUCUGGAUCAUAACACUGCUAGCGGUUCAUCAGCGACUGAACAGGUAAAACAUCUACUCUGAUAAAGAGGAAUGCUUGGGAAGUAAAUGAGGUCCAUGCAGUGGAGAGACAUAUGAAGACCUUCAUCAUGUCAUGUCGUGUCCCAGGGAAGUUGGCCUGUGAAAACUGCAUUAGAUCUGAUUCUUUAUAUCUUAAAGCUUGAGACUGGCAAAGUGUCAAAUUCUAUGUCUACAAAUUCAUUGUAGCUUACAAGAGAGAUAUAAACAAAGAUUAAAUAACACUUUGAUAGUAACACUUUACAUCUAUAUUACAAAUACUAUACAUCAUAAUGCUUUAAUAAUAAGUUACGUUACAUCUCUAGCCUUUUACUUUGUAAUGAACCGCUCAGCAUUUACUUCAUAAUAAACUAAUCAGGAACAAAUCAGGCAUUCAGUGUGCUACCCAUUUACAUGUUUAGACUGCCUGGAAUCAAAAUUAGCUACCUCAACAUACAUUAUUAAGAUGUUACUGUCACUUUUUAGCUUAGUCAGUUAAGUGGAUAUAGAAUAAAGAAAAAAAUAGUGUUUGA